UUGGAGGGCAAGUCUGGUGCCAGCAGCCGCGGUAAUUCCAGCUCCAAUAGCGUAUAUUAAAGUUGUUGCAGUUAAAAAGCUCGUAGUUGAAUUUCGGGAUUCAUCCGUUGGUCGGGCUUCACGGUCCGUACUGGUGUGAUGGGUUCCUACCUUCUGAAUAACCGGCAUGCCAUUAAUUUGGUGCGCCGGGGAAGCAGAACUAUUACCUUGAAAAAAUUAGAGUGCUUAAAGCAGGCAAGUGCCUGAAUAGGUUAGCAUGGAAUAAUAAAAUAGGACGGCAUGGUUCUAUUUUGUUGGUUUCUAGGAUCACCGUAAUGAUUAAUAGGGAUAGUUGGGGGCAUUAGUAUUCAAUUGUCAGAGGUGAAAUUCUUGGAUUUAUUGAAGACUAACUUCUGCGAAAGCAUUUGCCAAGGAUGUUUUCAUUAAUCAAGAACGAAAGUUAGGGGAUCGAAGACGAUCAGAUACCGUCGUAGUCUUAACCAUAAACUAUGCCGACUAGGGAUCGGACGAUGUUAAUUUUUUAAUGACUCAUUCGGCGCCUUACGGGAAACCAAAGUGUUUGGGUUC
Molecule: ribosomal RNA, 567 nt
Filed under: uncultured Glomeromycotina
Lineage: Eukaryota; Fungi; Glomeromycota
Description: SSU rRNA
Rfam family: Eukaryotic small subunit ribosomal RNA
Source: RNAcentral